CCUUUGUGUUCGUUGUUUUUCUCCAGACAGAACUCCAGGGGUGUCAACAAUUGUGAUUUCAUCUAGCAAUGGAUGUGGCAUUUGUGCACAUUCAAAUUUUGAUAAGAAUGCCCCUCCAAAUGUUGUCAGGCCACUAAACGGCAUGUCUGCAUGAACAGCAACAGUGUUCCCAGGUAUACUCCUCUCAUCAGAUCCAGACAUUACAACAACGAAUCUAUCAGUUGUAGGCUCUGGUCCAAUGUGAGCUCCUGGGUAAUUACAUCUAAGUAAAUGUUUUAUGAAUGUUGUUUUGCCAGUGGAAUACUGACCCAAAAGCAUAACCAUAGGCUUGGCAUCAA
RNAcentral lists this unclassified non-coding RNA (338 nucleotides) under Hevea brasiliensis (rubber tree). Lineage: Eukaryota; Viridiplantae; Streptophyta; Magnoliopsida; Malpighiales; Euphorbiaceae. The record is from RNAcentral.